AUACGGAGGGUGCAAGCGUUAAUCGGAAUUACUGGGCGUAAAGCGCGCGUAGGCGGCUUGGUAAGUCGGAUGUGAAAGCCCCGGGCUCAACUUGGGAAUUGCAUUCGAAACUGCCGAGCUAGAGUAUGGGAGAGGGAAGUGGAAUUUCCGGUGUAGCGGUGGAAUGCAUAGAUAUCGGAAGGAACACCAGUGGCGAAGGCGGCUUCCUGGACUUUUACUGACACUGAGGCACGAAAGCGUGGGGAGCAAACAGGAUUAGAAACCCCAGUAGUCC
RNAcentral lists this ribosomal RNA (274 nucleotides) under uncultured bacterium. RNAcentral describes it as "partial 16S ribosomal RNA". It matches the Rfam family "Bacterial small subunit ribosomal RNA", at positions 523 to 796 of the family's 1533-position model. The record is from RNAcentral.